RNAcentral lists this ribosomal RNA (424 nucleotides) under uncultured prokaryote. Its description in RNAcentral is "bacterial SSU rRNA". It matches the Rfam family "Bacterial small subunit ribosomal RNA", at positions 355 to 796 of the family's 1533-position model. The record is from RNAcentral.
UGGGGAAUAUUGGACAAUGGGCGCAAGCCUGAUCCAGCCAUGCCGCGUGAGUGAAGAAGGCCUUAGGGUUGUAAAGCUCUUUCACCUGCGAAGAUGAUGACGGUAGCAGGAGAAGAAGCCCCGGCUAACUCCGUGCCAGCAGCCGCGGUAAUACGGAGGGGGCUAGCGUUGUUCGGAUUUACUGGGCGUAAAGGGCGCGUAGGCGGUAUGCCAAGUCAGGGGUGAAAGGCCUGGGCUCAACCCAGGAACUGCCUUUGAAACUGGCAAACUAGAGUCCGAUAGAGGAUGGCGGAAUUCCCAGUGUAGAGGUGAAAUUCGUAGAUAUUGGGAAGAACACCAGUGGCGAAGGCGGCCAUCUGGAUCGGCACUGACGCUGAGGCGCGAAAGCGUGGGGAGCAAACAGGAUUAGAUACCCCCGUAGUCC